Molecule: long non-coding RNA, 869 nt
Organism: Carassius gibelio (silver crucian carp)
Lineage: Eukaryota; Metazoa; Chordata; Actinopteri; Cypriniformes; Cyprinidae
Exons: 2
Source: RefSeq, a predicted model, not a curated record
CAACCACCAGUUGAGUCGAUGAUUCAGUGAGUUCCUUAUAAGGAAAUAUAUUUGUUACCACCUAGUAAUUUAAAUGUAUUAUUUAUUGCUUUAAAAUGAACACAUAUAUUUAUCAUCAGGGGAAGAGACAGUCUGGGCAGCAGCAACAAGACAACUAUUACAAGUAGAGAUGGGUUUCAAGAACUGACACAACCACAUAUCCUCCAAAUCAUCUCUGCGUGGAUGGCAGCAAGGAUCCAGGAUCAAGAGAUCAUUCUUCAUGGAGACUGUUCCACAGGAAGCAGUUUCUCCUGGGUGAAAAACUAAACCUGGUUGUUUCAGCAUCACUCAGGCAAGACUAAAUACUUUUAAAUUGAUUUCAGUUGGUUAUGUGUUUCAGGUCAUCCUGACCAUUCUGCUGUCCUGGAUGUAAGGCCGUGCUGGAACUACAUUUCUCGUGGUUGAAAGAUUUGUGGAGCGGUAUCCAGACAUAUAAUGCCCCAUCACACGGGGCGUCAACGCCUCUCGUUUACUUUUAAAUGAAGUGACGUCAAGGAUGGUGAAAUUAAUUCUAGAAAUUAAUUCUAAAUAGAAGUUGAAGACUUCUCAAGCGCCAAUGCAGCCGUCCUCCAGUCAGAACAUCUUAUGCAAAUACCCAAGUGCAGACGCAAGCCAAUCAAGUGCAUGCAAUACCAGAAAACUAAUGUGAUUGGCUGUCACUAUGAGAAGAGACAGUAAUUCUGAUCCGAUAUCAGUGUCGUUUUUUGCAAAAAAAAAUUUAAAUCAAUGUAGAAUUUUCUAUACUUCUGUGUAAGGAUGUCAAUUUUCAAUCAUUUCCAUGAUCGAUCGUCGUUUAAAUUAAUGAACAAAUAAUCGAUUAAUCGUUAACC